This 1027-nucleotide long non-coding RNA is filed under the name Nasonia vitripennis (jewel wasp). RNAcentral's name for it is "uncharacterized LOC116417134, transcript variant X1". The record is from RNAcentral. Lineage: Eukaryota; Metazoa; Arthropoda; Insecta; Hymenoptera; Pteromalidae.
GCUUGGAGCCGUGAACCUUCCUCUCUCGCAGUUAUUAUUGUUUUGGUCGGACGACGCAUGCGCACCGGCGACGCGCUCGCCUUUCCCCUCUCGCGCUCGCGCUCCCGGGCGUUUGAAUGGCACCAGCUUGGCUGCUCGUAUACUCUCCUCUCUCUCGCGCUCUUCCUCGUCGUGUAAACAAACCGUUAACUCGAGGCCCUGGCGAAUCGAUAACGUCCGAGCUCUCACUACUUCCCCGCUGCGGUACUCCGAUUUCACUUGACAAAAGACCUGUAUACUCCAAAGUAGGCGUGAUGCACUUACCAAGCUGUUGCUUUCCAUCACGCCGAGGAGAGAAAAGGGGACUCGAGCAUUUUCCAGGAACGUCGCUGGGUUUUUGGAACGAGUUAGACAUCCGCUAUGUCCGUGUGUGCGAAGGUGGGGUGGGGAGCUCUGGGAUGCUCGUACGAUGGAUCAAGACUGGUCUUUCUCUCUCGCUCGCGGAUGCGCUCAUACCUACACUGGGAAAUCAUUCGCUAGAGCGUGAACAACUCUCCGUAUUAUAGCUGAUGUCUUGCCAGUAACUGAGCUGUUCCGUUGAUGCUCAGUACAGGGUGAACUAAUUUGUCACGGAGUUGCGUAACAGUUGUCGCAUUAUCUGACGCACCGAGAUAUAAGUACCUACAGCGAGACAGUAGAGCAUACGAGCACUUUCGGAGCUAAGAUAGUUUUGUUUUUCAGAUAAGGCUGAGGCCACGGGAUGUGGAUUACGUGCCGUUGGCAGGGAUAUGGAUCGAUCUAAGUGUAUAUAGCUUGUUAGGGAACAAUCACGACCAGCUGUGAAUAUUUCAAACCGGGGAACGCUUCUCUGCAAUUUUCUAAACUAGGUUUACGACAGGAUGUUUCCGUCGUUCGCAAUAACUGAGCUUUGUUUACAAAUAUGUUAACGAGGACAUGUCGAAAGUAAUAAUACUAUAAGCAUCAAACAUAUUUGUAAUUUCUCGUAUAAUUUUAUCUUAAUCAAAUAUAUGAAGUAUGCAUGAUGAAA